Oryza sativa Indica Group (long-grained rice) is the source of this 275-nucleotide microRNA precursor. It matches the Rfam family "MIR821 microRNA precursor family". The record is from Rfam. NCBI's taxonomy places the organism in Eukaryota, Viridiplantae, Streptophyta, Magnoliopsida, Poales, Poaceae.
GAUAUCAACUGAAAAAGUCAUCAACAACAAAGUUGAAUAACUCAUCAAGAUCUAAAACUUUUAUUUUGGUCAUUUCUUCAUACGACAAAGUGAAAGUAACAUUGUUCACAAAAUUGACAUAUCUCUUAUCUGGUUUUAUAAACUAUAACACAUAUAUGUAAAAUUUGUGAAUAAUAUUACUAACAUUUCGUCAGAUGAAGAAAUAACAAAAAUAAAAGUUUUAGAUCUUGAUGAGUUAUUCAACUUUGUUGUUGAUGACUUUUUCAAUUGAAAUC